Molecule: ribosomal RNA, 253 nt
Filed under: uncultured bacterium
Lineage: Bacteria
Description: partial 16S ribosomal RNA
Rfam family: Bacterial small subunit ribosomal RNA
Source: RNAcentral
UACGAAGGGGGCUAGCGUUGUUCGGAAUCACUGGGCGUAAAGGGCGCGUAGGCGGCUAUGCAAGUCGGGCGUGAAAUCCCACGGCUCAACCGUGGAAGUGCACUCGAAACUGCGUAGCUAGAGUCCUGGAGAGGAAGGUGGAAUACUUGGUGUAGAGGUGAAAUUCGUAGAUAUCAAGUGGAACACCGGUGGCGAAGGCGGCCUUCUGGACAGUGACUGACGCUGAGACGCGAAAGCGUGGGGAGCAAACAGG